CCUACGGGUGGCUGCAGUGGGGAAUAUUGGACAAUGGGCGAAAGCCUGAUCCAGCCAUGCCGCGUGUGUGAAGAAGGCCUUCGGGUUGUAAAGCACUUUCAGUGGGGAAGAAAGCCUUGGGGCUAAUACCCUCGAGGAAGGACAUCACCCACAGAAGAAGCACCGGCUAACUCCGUGCCAGCAGCCGCGGUAAUACGGAGGGUGCGAGCGUUAAUCGGAAUUACUGGGCGUAAAGCGCGCGUAGGCGGUCUGAUAAGCCGGUUGUGAAAGCCCCGGGCUCAACCUGGGAACGGCAUCCGGAACUGUCAGGCUAGAGUGCAGGAGAGGAAGGUAGAAUUCCCGGUGUAGCGGUGAAAUGCGUAGAGAUCGGGAGGAAUGCCAGUGGCGAAGGCGGCCUUCUGGACUGACACUGACGCUGAGGUGCGAAAGCGUGGGUAGCAAACAGGAUUAGAUACCCGUGUAGUC
This 465-nucleotide ribosomal RNA is filed under the name Vreelandella stevensii. Its description in RNAcentral is "partial 16S ribosomal RNA". It matches the Rfam family "Bacterial small subunit ribosomal RNA", at positions 338 to 795 of the family's 1533-position model. Lineage: Bacteria; Pseudomonadati; Pseudomonadota; Gammaproteobacteria; Oceanospirillales; Halomonadaceae. The record is from RNAcentral.